Chaetomidium leptoderma is the source of this 89-nucleotide non-coding RNA. The record is from the annotation of a GenBank genome assembly. NCBI's taxonomy places the organism in Eukaryota, Fungi, Ascomycota, Sordariomycetes, Sordariales, Chaetomiaceae.
GCCCGGCUAGCUCAAUCGGUAGAGCGUGAGACUCUUACUCAAGAGACGCACACAUCUCAAGGUUGUGGGUUCGACCCCCACGUCGGGCU